AUUUUAUUGUAAAAAAAUUAAAAAAAUUGCCAGAAUGUUUUUUUUUUCCCACAAUCUAUGGUGACUUCCUGAUUUCAAAAACAAUAACAUUUACUGGGCCUCCCGAUUUAUUGUAGAUAUAUGUGUCUACAAAUAGAAUAGUGCUCUAUUACUGGCUAUAAUGUGAACUGUGGUAGGAAUGUGUGACGAUGUUUUUUUUAGAUAGCGAUUUAUAUUUAGUAUUGUAUAAACAACAAAUUCAAUAUAGGAAUGAUAUGGAGUCCCAUACGCAUUCUUCACUUAUUAAUAAGUACAUAACUAAGUAAAGAAUGUUUUUUUAAACUGCUAAAGAUUUUACUUCUAGUUUUUUCAAGAAUCAACGACUGAGAGGAGAUAUUUUAUAAUGGAUGGACUAACUAAUACAAUAAGAAUAUUAAUAAGAAAUGAAAGAAAUAAAACGGAUCAUGUUUGCAAAUUGUGCAGAAAUGUAUGCAAAUGUCAAAGAAUCUCUUAUUUAGAGUAUUUUCCAGAUGUCUACUUUGACACACUUUCAUACUAGCUUUUUUUUUUAAUUAAAAUAUAUAUCAUUUCUUGGCCCAAAGGGAUUUUUUUAAUGGGUGAAAAUGGCAAAGUAUCCCGCCUGCGCUAUCGAUAUACACUGGCAGGGUAUCAAUGAGAGGUGAAGAUGAAAAGGCAGGUCAGUUAGCCCAUCGUGACAAAUUUAACGAUAAAUUAGUCAAGAUAGUUUCCAGGAGGAACCGCGUGGAGGUCGACCUGAUAGGGUAUAUUGAUAGCAAUGGGGACUAACCUCCCCAUUACUAACAAUCCCUUCCCCCAGCAUAAAGGGAUUACUAGUACCCUGUCAGGCUGAUUCCAUGUGGUCCCUCCUAGAAACCAUCGUGACAAAUUCCAGGUAUAUUCAUCACGAUGGGCUAACUGACCUAAUUUUUAAAUCACACCUAUCGUACUUCACUGGUGCCCUGCCAGCGUAUACCCUUAACGCAGGCGGGGUUGCCAUUCCAUUAUCAUCCUUUAAAAAACCUAUGUAACUAAUUUGCCAACCCUAGAUAAGGUGAACGUUGGUACGAUAACAAUUCUUUGUUCGUUUACGUAUGAGGUCAUCACACCACAUACUAACACACAUACACACAUACGACAUUCAUACAUAUUUAAUGGCACUAAAGAAUUUGUUCGUGUCUGUCUAUAUUUAUUGAAAACUUGAACAGAUUUUUUUUAUAACACAGAGACCAUUUUUGUACAAAUUAUAAUUUUUCUGACUUCAUAUAAUUUAACAAAUACAGUGUGGUGAUUUUAGAGUAGCUUUCUCUCGCAAACUCUCAGAUAAUGGAAUGACCUUCCUGCCGAGGUUUUCCCUAGAGAUUACAGCAUGGGCACAGAUAAUAUUAAUAAUUGGGGUUCUUCAAAAAGCGUGUAAUAAGAUGUCUUAUGGGUCGGUAACGAGGGCGUGAUAUCCCUAGUGUUACAGGCGUCCAUAGAUUACGAUAACACACCAUUGUGCAUCCGAUAGUAGUGACGCGGUUCAUUUGAUUUAAUAGUGGGGGAACUCCCACUAUUAAAUCAAAACAUAUAAGACAUCAGUUUUCUUAAAGCCACAAGAAUCCUACAUAAUCAUCAUUAUUAUCAUCUCAGCCAUUAUCUGUUCGCUGCUGAACACAGACCUCCCUAAUAGACUGCCAUAAGGAACGGUCUUAAAC
Molecule: long non-coding RNA, 1694 nt
Organism: Galleria mellonella (greater wax moth)
Lineage: Eukaryota; Metazoa; Arthropoda; Insecta; Lepidoptera; Pyralidae
Exons: 3
Source: RefSeq, a predicted model, not a curated record